AGCCUCAUUCUACAUGCAUGUGAGCUCCUGACAUCCAGGGAAUAUAGAUGAAUAUGGCCACAAUGACCCACUGAUCAUGCUUCCAUCACAGCAGGCUCAUUGCCAUGGUGACAAAUGAGACCUGUGACAUGU
Molecule: small nucleolar RNA, 132 nt
Filed under: Sorex araneus (European shrew)
Lineage: Eukaryota; Metazoa; Chordata; Mammalia; Eulipotyphla; Soricidae
Description: Small nucleolar RNA SNORA1 (ENSSARG00000018220.1)
Rfam family: Small nucleolar RNA SNORA1
About the family: ACA1 is a member of the H/ACA class of snoRNA that guide the sites of modification of uridines to pseudouridines.
Source: RNAcentral